CCUACGGGAGGCAGCAGUGAGGAAUAUUGGUCAAUGGACGAGAGUCUGAACCAGCCAAGUAGCGUGAAGGAUGACUGCCCUAUGGGUUGUAAACUUCUUUUAUAUGGGAAUAAAACGUUCCACGUGUGGGAUUUUGUAUGUCCCAUAUGAAUAAGGAUCGGCUAACUCCGUGCCAGCAGCCGCGGUAAUACGGAGGAUCCGAGCGUUAUCCGGAUUUAUUGGGUUUAAAGGGAGCGUAGGUGGAUUGUUAAGUCAGUUGUGAAAGUUUGCGGCUCAACCGUAAAAUUGCAGUUGAAACUGGCAGUCUUGAGUACAGUAGAGGUGGGCGGAAUUCGUGGUGUAGCGGUGAAAUGCUUAGAGAUCACGAAGAACUCCGAUUGCGAAGGCAGUUCACUGGACUGCAACUGACACUGAGGCUCGAAAGUGUGGGUAUCAAACAGGAUUAGAUACCCCUGUAGUC
RNAcentral lists this ribosomal RNA (460 nucleotides) under uncultured bacterium. RNAcentral describes it as "partial 16S ribosomal RNA". It matches the Rfam family "Bacterial small subunit ribosomal RNA", at positions 338 to 795 of the family's 1533-position model. The record is from RNAcentral.